CAGCCGCCGCGGGAAUACGAAGGGGGCUAGCGUUGUUCGGAAUUACUGGGCGUAAAGCGCACGUAGGCGGAUAUUUAAGUCAGGGGUGAAAUCCCGCAGCUCAAUUGCGGAACUGCCUUUGAUACUGGGUAUCUUGAGUAUGGAAGAGGUUAGUGGAAUUGCGAGUGUAGAGGUGAAAUUCGUAGAUAUUCGCAGGAACACCAGUGGCGAAGGCGGCUAACUGGUCCAUAACUGACGCUGAGGUGCGAAAGCGUGGGGAGCAAACAGGAUUAGAUACCCGUGUAGUCCCUGUCUCUUAUUC
RNAcentral lists this ribosomal RNA (301 nucleotides) under uncultured bacterium. RNAcentral describes it as "partial 16S ribosomal RNA". It matches the Rfam family "Bacterial small subunit ribosomal RNA", at positions 509 to 809 of the family's 1533-position model. The record is from RNAcentral.